This 497-nucleotide ribosomal RNA is filed under the name uncultured bacterium. RNAcentral's name for it is "partial 16S ribosomal RNA". It matches the Rfam family "Bacterial small subunit ribosomal RNA", at positions 28 to 507 of the family's 1533-position model. The record is from RNAcentral.
GAUGAACGCUGGCGGCGUGCCUAAUACAUGCAAGUCGAGCGAACGGACGAGAAGCUUGCUUCUCUGAUGUUAGCGGCGGACGGGUGAGUAACACGUGGAUAACCUACCUAUAAGACUGGGAUAACUUCGGGAAACCGUAGCUAAUACCGGAUAAUAUAUUGAACCGCAUGGUUCAAUAGUGAAAGACGGUCUUGCUGUCACUUAUAGAUGGAUCCGCGCUGCAUUAGCUAGUUGGUAAGGUAACGGCUUACCAAGGCAACGAUGCAUAGCCGACCUGAGAGGGUGAUCGGCCACACUGGAACUGAGACACGGUCCAGACUCCUACGGGAGGCAGCAGUAGGGAAUCUUCCGCAAUGGGCGAAAGCCUGACGGAGCAACGCCGCGUGAGUGAUGAAGGUCUUCGGAUCGUAAAACUCUGUUAUUAGGGAAGAACAUAUGUGUAAGUAACUGUGCACAUCUUGACGGUACCUAAUCAGAAAGCCACGGCUAACUACGUG